Molecule: ribosomal RNA, 467 nt
Filed under: uncultured bacterium
Lineage: Bacteria
Description: bacterial SSU rRNA
Rfam family: Bacterial small subunit ribosomal RNA
Source: RNAcentral
CUACGGGAGGCAGCAGUGAGGAAUAUUGCGCAAUGGGAGAAAGCCUGACGCAGCCACGCCGCGUGAGUGAGGAAGGCCUUCGGGUUGUAAAGCUCUGUCACCCGGGAAAAACAAGCAGUGGGGGAAAGUUCCAUUGCCCUGAUUGUACCGGGGGAGGAAGUAGCGGCUAACUCUGUGCCAGCAGCCGCGGUAAUACAGAGGCUACAAACGUUGUUCGGAUUUACUGGGCGUAAAGCGUGCGUAGGCGGUAUUGAGAGUCGCGGGUGAAAUCCCAGAGCUUAACUCUGGAACUGCCUGCGAGACCUCAAUACUAGAGUGUGAGAGGGGAUGCUGGAAUUCCUGGUGUAGCGGUGAAAUGCGUAGAGAUCAGGAGGAACACCGGUGGCGAAGGCGGGCAUCUGGCUCACAGCUGACGCUGAGGCACGAAAGCGUGGGGAGCAAACAGGAUUAGAUACCCUAGUAGUCCC